AUGACACGAGACAACAGCUCAACAACACAACGAGACAACAGCACAAUGACACGAGACAACAGCACAACAACACAACGACACAACAGCACAACGACACAACAACACAAUGACACAACGAGACAACAGCACAACAACACAACGACACAACAGCACAACAACACAAUGACACAACAGUACAACGACACAACGAGACAACAGCACAACAACACGACACAACACCACAACAACACAAUGACACAACACAACAACACAACUCAGCAGCACAACAGCACAACACCACAACACCCGACUGACGCCGCUGUCCCCCAGCAGAGCUGUGCCGCAAACAGGCGGCGCCCAAUUUCAGCCCUUAUUCACAACAACACAACACAGCAACACCACAACAACACCGCAGCACAACAACACAACACCGCAGCACCACAACUCAACUCCACAACACAACACCACAACAACAACACAACAACUCAACUCCACAACACAACACCACAACACCACAACAACACCACACAUCAACACAUCGCAAUACCACGUCACCACAACACAGCAACACAACAACACAACAGCGCAGCACCACAACACAACACCACAACAACACAGCAACUCAACUCCACAACACAACACCACAACUCAACUCCACAACACCACAGCAACACGACACCACAACAGCACGACACCACAACAGCACAACACCACAGCACCCGACUGACGCCGCUGUCCCCCGGCAGAGCUGUGCCGCAAACAGGCGGCGCCCGAUUUCAGCCCUUAUUACUACGCCUACCGGGUGAACAACAGCUUCCUCUGCAUCACCGACUGCAGCCCCGGCUUCCCCAGCGCCAUCGACUGCCACAGCGGGCUCUGCAGGGUGACAACCCAGGGGCCGCGCUGUUUCUGCCCCGAAAUUCCAGGCUUUCUCUCCUCCGGGGAUCGAUGCCAGUCCCAAAUCAGCCGUGUGGGGCUGGGGGUGGGGGUGGGGGUGGGGCUGGGGCUGCCCUUCCUCCUCCUCCUCCUCCUCCUCCUCCUCCUCCAUUGCGCCCCAUGGGGGAGGAAGGCCAACAGGUGAGCGAAUUCCCCUUUUCCACUUUUUCUCCCCAAUUUUCCCCAAUUUUCCCGAUUUUUUCCCCCAUUUUACGCCAUUAUUAUCCCCAUUUUCCUCAAUUUUCCCCCAAUUUUCCCAAUUUUCCUGAUUUUCCCCCAUUUUACGCCAUCAUUUUCCCCAAUUUCCUCAAUUUUCCCCCAAUUUUCCCAAUUUUCCUGAUUUUUUCCCCCAUUUUAUGCCAUCAUUUUCCCAAUUUCCUCAAUUUUCCCCCAAUUUUCCCCAAUUUUCCUGAUUUUUUUACCCCAUUUUACGCCAUUAUUUUCCCAAUUUCCUCAAUUUUCCCCCAAUUUUCCCAAUUUUUUCCUGAUUUUUCCCCAUUUUUCCUUAUUUUACACCGUUCUUUUCCCAACUUCCCCAUACUUUCCUCAAUUUUCCCCCAUUUUCCCCCCAUUUAUCCCCAUUUCCAGCUAUUUUCCUGAUUUUUCCUGAUUUUCUCCUAUUUUACACCAUUAUUUUCCCCAAUUUCCUGUUUUUUCCUCAAUUUCUCCCUAUUUUACAAGAAUUUUUCCUGAUUUUUCCUGAUUUUUCCCCAUUUUUCCUUAUUUUACACCGUUAUUUUCCCAACUUCCCCAUACUUUCCUCAAUUUUCCCCCAUUUUUUCCCCAAUUUUCCCAUUUUUCCCCCAUUUUCCCCAUUUUCCCCCAUUAUUUUCCUCAUUUCCCCCAUUUUCCCCCAAUUUUCCCCAUUUUCCCCCAUUUUCCCCAUUAUUUCCCCUAUUUUCCCCAUUUCCCCCAUUAUUUACCACACUUUUUCCCCAAUUACCCCCAUUUUCCCCCAUUAUUUUCCUCAUUUUCCCCCAAUUUCCCCAUUUUCCCGCAUUAUUCCUCCCAGUUUCCCCUUUUUUCCCCCUUUAUUUUCCCCAUUUUCCCCCAUUUCCUCCAUUUUUCCCCAUUUUCCCCGAUUAUUUCCCCUGAUUUCCCGCAUUUUCUUCAAUUUUCC
Phasianus colchicus (ring-necked pheasant) is the source of this 2035-nucleotide long non-coding RNA. NCBI's taxonomy places the organism in Eukaryota, Metazoa, Chordata, Aves, Galliformes, Phasianidae. The record is from Ensembl.